Elgaria multicarinata webbii is the source of this 524-nucleotide non-coding RNA. Lineage: Eukaryota; Metazoa; Chordata; Lepidosauria; Squamata; Anguidae. The record is from the annotation of a RefSeq genome assembly.
UGAGGAACAUCACUCUAUCAGGUUUCGCCACAAUGGCCGGGACUCUGCUUCUCUUCACAUUCCUCCUCUCCAUUGGUCCCAGUGUCCAGCAGCUGCAGACCCUGAAGGACCCAGAAUUCGUGGCUCCGGGUGGGACGGUCACCAUGUCUUGCAGAUUCGAUAGUGGAAACAUUGGUGAUGGCAAUUACCCUUGGUGGGCACAGAAAAAACCAGGGAGUAAACCUCGGACAGUGAUGUAUACCACUAGCAGCAGACCAUCUGAUGUCCCAGCCCGUUUCUCUGGCUCCAGGUCAGGGAAUGUGAUGUCCCUGACCAUUACGGGGGCUCAGGUAGAAGAUGAAGCGGCUUAUUACUGUUGCGCAUGGACUGGUAGCCAGGGGCACAGUGGUUCAUUCAGAUGGGGAAGUGAGACAAAAACCUUCUGCCCAUUUCCUUCUGUUUGCUUAUCAGCAGCAGAUCAACUAGCUAGAGAAGCUUCUGUUAUUUGUAUCCAGUUUGCAUUAGAGAUGAAACAAAUUCACUGA